AAACCAUGAUGAGGGCACUCUAAGAGAAGGUCUUUAAAACGUUCCAUGCAUCGAGAAAAAGAUUCAUUGGGUCGCUGUCAAAACUGGCAAAUGUCGUUCCUAAGUUU
This 107-nucleotide small nucleolar RNA is filed under the name Cephalotus follicularis. RNAcentral describes it as "Plant small nucleolar RNA R71". It matches the Rfam family "Plant small nucleolar RNA R71". From Rfam's summary of the family: R71 is a member of the C/D box family of snoRNAs containing the C (UGAUGA) and D (CUGA) box motifs. Multiple nearly identical copies of this snoRNA have been identified in Arabidopsis, and it is thought to function as a 2'-O-ribose methylation guide for 18S ribosomal RNA. The record is from Rfam by way of RNAcentral. Lineage: Eukaryota; Viridiplantae; Streptophyta; Magnoliopsida; Oxalidales; Cephalotaceae.